UACGUAGGGGGCGAGCGUUGUCCGGAAUUACUGGGCGUAAAGGGCGUGCAGGCGGACUAAUAAGUCAGGUGUGAAAUACCGGGGCUUAACCCCGGGGCUGCACAUGAAACUUUAUGGCUUGAGGACAGGAGAGGGAAGUGGAAUUCCCAGUGUAGCGGUGAAAUGCGUAGAUAUUGGGAGGAACACCAGUGGCGAAGGCGACUCCCUGGACUGGCCCUGACGCUGAGGCGCGAAAGCGUGGGGAGCGAAC
RNAcentral lists this ribosomal RNA (250 nucleotides) under uncultured Eubacteriales bacterium. Its description in RNAcentral is "uncultured Clostridiales bacterium partial 16S ribosomal RNA". It matches the Rfam family "Bacterial small subunit ribosomal RNA", at positions 524 to 773 of the family's 1533-position model. The record is from RNAcentral. Lineage: Bacteria; Bacillati; Bacillota; Clostridia; Eubacteriales.